This 247-nucleotide ribosomal RNA is filed under the name uncultured bacterium. Its description in RNAcentral is "partial small subunit ribosomal RNA". It matches the Rfam family "Bacterial small subunit ribosomal RNA", at positions 26 to 285 of the family's 1533-position model. The record is from RNAcentral.
AGAAUCAACGCUGGCGGCGUGCCUAACACAUGCAAGUCGAACGAGAAAGUGGGAGCAAUCCCACGAGUAAAGUGGCGCACGGGUGAGUAACACGUGACUAACCUACUCUUGAGUGGGGGAUAACCUAGGGAAACCUGGGCUAAUACCGCAUAAUACCUACGGGUCAAAGGAGCAAUUCGCUUUAGGAGGGGGUCGCGGCAGAUUAGUUAGUUGGCGGGGUAAUGGCCCACCAAGACAGUGAUCUGUA